UACAUAUCUACAUUAGAAGAGACCAUCCCUCUUUCGUCGAGGCAGUCAUUUACUGCUUUUUUGCUAGUAAAGGGUAUGCCCACCGCCUCUGUCUGGUGCUACAGGUGCUUAUCUCCUGGCAGCAGAGUAACGCCCAGAGGAUUGAAGAAAGCACAUGCCUUUCUAAAACCAUUAAGUGGCAGCUGGACAUUGCUUCAUAUUCCGAAC
Zophobas morio is the source of this 207-nucleotide long non-coding RNA. RefSeq lists it as uncharacterized. Lineage: Eukaryota; Metazoa; Arthropoda; Insecta; Coleoptera; Tenebrionidae. The transcript has 3 exons. The record is from RefSeq and is a predicted model, not a curated record.